Molecule: ribosomal RNA, 255 nt
Filed under: uncultured bacterium
Lineage: Bacteria
Description: partial 16S ribosomal RNA
Rfam family: Bacterial small subunit ribosomal RNA
Source: RNAcentral
UACAGAGGGUGCGAGCGUUGUUCGGAAUUACUGGGCGUAAAGCGCGCGCAGGCGGCCCUUUAAGUCCGUCGGUCAAAUGCCGGGGCUCAACCCCGAUGCAUGCCGAGGAUACUGGAGGGCUGGAGACACGUAGAGGCAAGCGGAAUUCCGGGUGUAGCGGUGGAAUGCGUAGAGAUCAGGAAGAACACCGGUGGCGAAAGCGCUCUGCUAGGCCGCAACUGACACUGAGGGACGAAGGCUAGGGGAGCGAAUGGG